This is a non-coding RNA of Acanthosepion pharaonis, 114 nucleotides long. The record is from the annotation of a GenBank genome assembly. Lineage: Eukaryota; Metazoa; Mollusca; Cephalopoda; Sepiida; Sepiidae.
UUACGGUAAUAUCAUGUUGAAAUACCGGUUUCCAUAUGAUCACCAAAAUCAAGCAACGUCAAGUCUGUUCAGUACUUAGAUGGGUGACCGCAGAGGAAUACAAGUGCUGUAAGC